Molecule: ribosomal RNA, 253 nt
Filed under: uncultured bacterium
Lineage: Bacteria
Description: partial 16S ribosomal RNA
Rfam family: Bacterial small subunit ribosomal RNA
Source: RNAcentral
UACGUAGGGUGCAAGCGUUAAUCGGAAUUACUGGGCGUAAAGCGUGCGCAGGCGGCUUUGCAAGACAGAUGUGAAAUCCCCGGGCUUAACCUGGGAACUGCAUUUGUGACUGCAAGGCUAGAGUACGGUAGAGGGGGAUGGAAUUCCGCGUGUAGCAGUGAAAUGCGUAGAUAUGCGGAGGAAUACCGAUGGCGAAGGCAGCCCCCUGGGAUAACACUGACGCUCAUGCACGAAAGCGUGGGGAGCAAACAGG